UUAGCCACCUGUCAUCUUUCUCUUAUGUAGAAGCUGAGGAUGAGGUUGGAACUUCGUUCCAAGCCUUAUCUAUUGCUGAAGAAAAGAGAGUUGGGACACCCAUGUCCUCAUUCAAAGAUGAAAAGAAGAUUUUAGAAAAGGGUCAGUCUGAUUAGUGGGGACAGAUGGUAGAGAUCUCCGACAACAAGAGCAGAGCCGGUUUGAGUUUCCAAC
This 213-nucleotide long non-coding RNA is filed under the name Lathyrus oleraceus (garden pea). RNAcentral's name for it is "Pisum sativum (pea) long non-coding RNA (PSAT_LNC028922)". Lineage: Eukaryota; Viridiplantae; Streptophyta; Magnoliopsida; Fabales; Fabaceae. The record is from RNAcentral.